This is a long non-coding RNA of Maylandia zebra (zebra mbuna), 775 nucleotides long. RefSeq lists it as uncharacterized. Lineage: Eukaryota; Metazoa; Chordata; Actinopteri; Cichliformes; Cichlidae. The record is from RefSeq and is a predicted model, not a curated record.
CUUGCUUCAUUAUCAUUAGUGGUCGCCGAGCUGUGUUGAUCUUAAGCCAAAUGUGGUGGAGUGUCCACACCACACUAAGUAAUAAUAGGAUGACAUUUAAAAAAACUGAGAAGGGAGCGUCUAGCAUUCACACAUUCAGGUGCAGAAAAUACACUAGAACAACUACACAUUGUUAAAGUGGGUUUCUUAAAAUCUCUAGCAUGUAUUAAUUCAUCAAUAACUGUUCUGAACACCAGAAUGAUAUCUAUAAAGUACAAAUGUUGUCUUUGGUGAACAAAAAUUCUGUCAUGGUCUCCGCUCCUCGUCAGCUGACAGCCGUCAGGUGUUUUGUUUUUGUUUACCUUUCUCUCUCACCUCUGCUCUCCCUUUCUCUCUCGCCCUCUUCCAUUCUCUCUUUCUCCUGCCGGGGCGGAGCUCAGUAUGGGCUCCUGCCCCUGGCCUACGCACCUGGAGGUGAUCAGCACAUCUGUCGCUGAUCAUGAAAGAUUGGAACCCUUCUUAAGAGGGCGAGUCUGCUCUACUCGUCGCUGGAUCGUUGAGUCAUCAGCAUUGCCUCUGGACUUGUUCUUCCCCUGUGCCUGGCGACUGAACGGGAGCAAGAGAGAUAAAGGAGAGGAGAUGUGCUAGGACUGAAUGGAAACUUUCCCUUCCUGGACUCCUGCCUCUUUCACUCCUGGACCCUGGAACCCCGGCCCCUUUUUCCUUUGACACUAUUAUGUGUAUAUAUGAAUUCCACUGUAGGAAACACUGUAAAUAAAUGCACCUUUUGAAGACA